AAGACGGCGGCUUACGGUCACUUCGGAAGGGACGACCCAGACUUCACCUGGGAGGUGGUGAAGCCCCUCAAGUGGGAGAAGCCUUCUGCCUAAAAGCUCCCUUUCGGAGGCUUUUGCUCUGUCCCAUUAUGGUGUUUUGUUUCCUCGCUGCUCAGCAUUGUGAUUCUUAACCUGCCCCCCGCUGCCAUUUAUGCCCAUGCACGCUACUUUCCUAAUAAUAAGUACUUAUAAGGGUAUUGUGUUUGAAUAUUUUACCUAG
This 259-nucleotide unclassified non-coding RNA is filed under the name Hevea brasiliensis (rubber tree). The record is from RNAcentral. Lineage: Eukaryota; Viridiplantae; Streptophyta; Magnoliopsida; Malpighiales; Euphorbiaceae.